RNAcentral lists this ribosomal RNA (1012 nucleotides) under Trichodelitschia bisporula. RNAcentral's name for it is "SSU rRNA". It matches the Rfam family "Eukaryotic small subunit ribosomal RNA", at positions 75 to 1096 of the family's 1831-position model. Lineage: Eukaryota; Fungi; Ascomycota; Dothideomycetes; Phaeotrichales; Phaeotrichaceae. The record is from RNAcentral.
UAUACUGCGAAACUGCGAAUGGCUCAUUAAAUCAGUUAUCGUUUAUUUGAUAGUACCUUGCUACUUGGAUAACCGUGGUAAUUCUAGAGCUAAUACAUGCGAAAAACCCCGACUUCGGGAGGGGUGUGUUUAUUAGAUAAAAAACCAAUGCCCUCACGGGCUCUUUGGUGAUUCAUAAUAACCAAACGAAUCGCAUGGCCUUGCGCCGGCGAUGGUUCAUUCAAAUUUCUGCCCUAUCAACUUUCGAUGGUAGGAUAGUGGCCUACCAUGGUAUCAACGGGUAACGGGGAAUUAGGGUUCUAUUCCGGAGAGGGAGCCUGAGAAACGGCUACCACAUCCAAGGAAGGCAGCAGGCGCGCAAAUUACCCAAUCCCGACACGGGGAGGUAGUGACAAUAAAUACUGAUACAGGGCUCUUAUGGGUCUUGUAAUUGGAAUGAGUACAAUUUAAAUCCCUUAACGAGGAACAAUUGGAGGGCAAGUCUGGUGCCAGCAGCCGCGGUAAUUCCAGCUCCAAUAGCGUAUAUUAAAGUUGUUGCAGUUAAAAAGCUCGUAGUUGAACCUUGGGCCUGGCUGGCCGGUCCGCCUCACCGCGUGCACUGGUUCGGCCGGGCCUUUCCUUCUGGGGAUGCGCAUGCCCUUCACUGGGCGUGUCGUGGAACCAGGACAUUUACUUUGAAAAAAUUAGAGUGUUCAAAGCAGGCCUUUGCUCGGAUACAUUAGCAUGGAAUAAUAGAAUAGGACGGCUUUCCUAUUUUGUUGGUUUCUAGGGAAGCCGUAAUGAUUAAUAGGGAUAGUCGGGGGCAUCAGUAUUCAAUUGUCAGAGGUGAAAUUCUUGGAUUUAUUGAAGACUAACUACUGCGAAAGCAUUUGCCAAGGAUGUUUUCAUUAAUCAGUGAACGAAAGUUAGGGGAUCGAAGACGAUCAGAUACCGUCGUAGUCUUAACCAUAAACUAUGCCGACUAGGGAUCGGGCGAUGUUACUAUCUUGACUCGCUCGGCACCUUACGAGAA